GCGAAACGAGUGCUUGAGCGUCGCCUUGCCAAGGCGAAGGUCGCCGGUUCGAACCCGGUGUUCCGCUCCA
Molecule: transfer RNA, 70 nt
Filed under: Deltaproteobacteria bacterium
Lineage: Bacteria; Pseudomonadati; Myxococcota; Myxococcia
Also listed under: 1 other name
Description: tRNA-Gly
Rfam family: tRNA
About the family: Transfer RNA (tRNA) molecules are approximately 80 nucleotides in length. Their secondary structure includes four short double-helical elements and three loops (D, anti-codon, and T loops). Further hydrogen bonds mediate the characteristic L-shaped molecular structure. tRNAs have two regions of fundamental functional importance: the anti-codon, which is responsible for specific mRNA codon recognition, and the 3' end, to which the tRNAs corresponding amino acid is attached (by aminoacyl-tRNA synthetases). tRNAs cope with the degeneracy of the genetic code in two manners: having more than one tRNA (with a specific anti-codon) for a particular amino acid; and 'wobble' base-pairing, i.e. permitting non-standard base-pairing at the 3rd anti-codon position.
Source: RNAcentral